This 735-nucleotide ribosomal RNA is filed under the name uncultured Podaxis. RNAcentral describes it as "eukaryotic LSU rRNA". The stretch from base 324 to 477 matches the Rfam family "5.8S ribosomal RNA". Lineage: Eukaryota; Fungi; Basidiomycota; Agaricomycetes; Agaricales; Agaricaceae. The record is from RNAcentral.
AGGUGAACUGCGGAAGGAUCAUUAUCGAAUAUACUUGAUGGGCUGUAGCUGGCUCCCCGGAGCAAUGUGCACGCCUGUCUUGACUUUAUUCAUCCACCUGUGCACCCUUUGUAGUCUCUGUGGGGUUGAUAGCGGGGUUGACCGUCGAAGAAGGGGUCUCUCUGGCCUCUUCGCGGAUGUGAGGGGUGCUGCGCGAAAGUGCUGCUCCCUUCAAACGGCCUCGUGAACCUCUCCCCCAGAGGUCUAUGUUCUCUCAUACACCACAGUAGUAUGUUGUAGAAUGUUACUCGAUGGGCCUCUCGUGCCUAUAGAACUUGUAAUACAACUUUCAGCAACGGAUCUCUUGGCUCUCGCAUCGAUGAAGAACGCAGCGAAAUGCGAUAAGUAAUGUGAAUUGCAGAAUUCAGUGAAUCAUCGAAUCUUUGAACGCAUCUUGCGCUCCUUGGUAUUCCGAGGAGCAUGCCUGUUUGAGUGUCAUUAAAUUCUCAACUCCGCUCCAGUUUUAUGAAGCUGGUGUUUCGGGGCUUGGACAUGGGGGUCUAUGCUGGCCUUUGUAAAACGAGGUCGGCUCCUCUGAAAUGCAUUAGCGGAACCGUUUGCGGUCCAUCACUGGUGUGAUAACUAUCUACGCCGUGGGGCUGCUCUCUGUCUGUUCAGCUGCCAAUCGUCCUUCCAGGGGACAAUCUCUGAACCUUUUGACCUCAAAUCAGGUAGGACUACCCGCUGAACUUAAGC